RNAcentral lists this ribosomal RNA (497 nucleotides) under uncultured bacterium. RNAcentral's name for it is "partial 16S ribosomal RNA". It matches the Rfam family "Bacterial small subunit ribosomal RNA", at positions 28 to 507 of the family's 1533-position model. The record is from RNAcentral.
GAUGAACGCUGGCGGCGUGCCUAAUACAUGCAAGUCGAGCGAACAGACGAGGAGCUUGCUCCUCUGACGUUAGCGGCGGACGGGUGAGUAACACGUGGAUAACCUACCUAUAAGACUGGGAUAACUUCGGGAAACCGGAGCUAAUACCGGAUAAUAUAUUGAACCGCAUGGUUCAAUAGUGAAAGACGGUUUUGCUGUCACUUAUAGAUGGAUCCGCGCCGCAUUAGCUAGUUGGUAAGGUAACGGCUUACCAAGGCAACGAUGCGUAGCCGACCUGAGAGGGUGAUCGGCCGCACGGGAACUGAGACGCGGUCCAGACCCCUACGGGAGGCAGCAGUAGGGCAUCUUCCGCAAUGGGCGAAAGCCUGACGGAGCAACGCCGCGUGAGUGAUGAAGGUCUUCGGAUCGUAAAACACUGUUAUUAGGGAAGAACAAAUGUGUAAGUAACUAUGCACGUCUUGACGGUACCUAAUCAGAAAGCCACGGCUAACUACGUG